UUUAUGGAGAGUUUGAUCCUGGCUCAGGAUGAACGCUGGCGGCGUGCCUAAUACAUGCAAGUCGAGCGAACAGAUAAGGAGCUUGCUCCUUUGAAGUUAGCGGCGGACGGGUGAGUAACACGUGGGUAACCUACCUAUAAGACUGGAAUAACUUCGGGAAACCGGAGCUAAUGCCGGAUAACAUAUAGAACCGCAUGGU
This 199-nucleotide ribosomal RNA is filed under the name Staphylococcus succinus. Its description in RNAcentral is "partial 16S ribosomal RNA". It matches the Rfam family "Bacterial small subunit ribosomal RNA", at positions 1 to 194 of the family's 1533-position model. The record is from RNAcentral. Lineage: Bacteria; Bacillati; Bacillota; Bacilli; Caryophanales; Staphylococcaceae.